AUUGAACGCUGGCGGCAUGACCUUACACAUGCAAGUCGAACGGCAGCGCGGGGCAACCUGGCGGCGAGUGGCGAACGGGUGAGUAAUAUAUCGGAACAUACCCUAGAGUGGGGGAUAAACGUAGCGAAAGUUACGCUAAUACCGCAUACGCACUAAGGUGGAAAGUGGGGGAUUCGCAAGAACCUCAUGCUCAUGGAGUAGGCCGAUAUCUGAUUAGCUAGUUGGUGAGGUAAAGGCUCACCAAGGCGACGAUCAGUAGCUGGUUUGGAGAGAACGACCAGCCACACUGGAACUGACGACACGGUCCAGACUCCUACGGGAGGCGAGCAGUGGGGAAUUUUUGGACAAUGGGGGCAACCCUGAUCCAGCAAAUGCCGCGUGAGUGAAGAAGGCCUU
This 396-nucleotide ribosomal RNA is filed under the name uncultured bacterium. RNAcentral describes it as "bacterial SSU rRNA". It matches the Rfam family "Bacterial small subunit ribosomal RNA", at positions 30 to 418 of the family's 1533-position model. The record is from RNAcentral.